Molecule: long non-coding RNA, 1487 nt
Filed under: Columba livia (rock pigeon)
Lineage: Eukaryota; Metazoa; Chordata; Aves; Columbiformes; Columbidae
Description: partial uncharacterized LOC102092418, transcript variant X2
Source: RNAcentral
AGAGUUGGGGUGCUCGGCCCCGGCACCCGCGUUCACAGCGUCACCUUCUUGCCUUCUGAGGCGGUCGCCCCGCGCGCCUUCUCAGGGAGCCUCUCGGAAACCAGAGCGCCGCUUCCAGCCGCUCGGGCUCCGCAAGGGCCUAGUGACGGGAGGGGGCUGCUGGGCCUCUCGAUUUACUUACCAGCAACUGUGGAAGAUGAAUGAAUUUAAAUACAAAUACCAGUGUGAACCUGCAUCCCUCUGACGAAAUCGCGACAUCCCAGUUGUAUGCUGUUGUGCCUGAAGGUUUUGGAGCCCAGAUUUGCUGGCCUGGUGGAAAUGUUUCUGGUGGAGGUAUACAGGUGCAAGCUCUGCCAGUUCACAAGUAGCAUCAAAAUGCACAAUGUAUUAAUCAUCUUUUGAAACUGAGUGGAUAAGAAGUCUUCACUAGCUUGCCGUUAUCAGGAUAUGUUUAAAUGUCUGCACGGUGAUUUUACCAGUCCUGUGACAUCUAAACCCCUUAAGGUCACUGGCAUCAGCUCCAUCAUGACAUCCUAACAUGCACCAUGUUGGUGGUGAUAUAUCAACCACCGAACCAUGCUGAAACAUGGAGCUGGUGUGCACUGAAUGGAGGGUCAGGUGAGAAGCCUUUCAAGUGUGAGAUCUGCUCUUACGCCUCCGUUGAUGCAGGCUCUUUGCAGCGGCCCUUCCAAACAUGCGCUAGUGAGGUGCCAUACAAAUGUUGACUCUGUUCAUAUAGUUGCUUUGCUUGUAGUGUUUUGAUUCCAUCCUCCUGCCCCAGUUGAUUGAGGAAAUGCUCACGUCUCUGACAUAUUUCAUUUUGCCGCAUUGGCAGAGUGCGUCAUGUGAGGAGUGGGAACGUUAACUAUUCCUAGUAAAGCUGAAGUACAUGUUGAAACAUUCAAAAGAAGAGCUUGGACCUUCACAUAUGCUGACUUCACACUGGUGAGGCAUUUGGCUGUAGUUUUUACUGCUGUUCUUCCCCUGACAAACAACUUCUCUGAAAACACAUUAAGAAAUAUCACCUGGGUUCAGGAACCUCAUUAACCAGUUCCCAGCCUAUCUUUACCUUCUAAUCACUUCCUGUGGAACAUUAGGUUCUUCAUGCUUGAACUUCUACCAGAGCAUCCCAGCAAAUAAAGAAGCUGUUGGUAUUGUCAGACUUUUGUGCUGAAAGUCAGGGGUUAUCUGGAAGAAAAAGAAGAAACGGUCCUUAUGUGGCAAUUAAAACCACUUAAAUGGUCCUCCCAAAAAGCUUUGUGCGUGUUAUGGCACAGGUGGUAAAUCCAAUAUGCUGAGAGGAGCGUGAAGAUUUGUGUUGCACAAAGGGUGGACAUGGUGAUUUUUUGUUCUGAUUACCUCUUGCUGAUAUAUUCUGCUUACUUACAAAUGAAGAGUUUGAUGUUUCAAAGCAGAAUCCAUUGAAAUGUACCAAAGCUGACAGUGAACCCCAGAAGUGGUUUCUGUACUAUGUCGCUCAUUUUUAA